Molecule: long non-coding RNA, 4611 nt
Organism: Equus asinus (donkey)
Lineage: Eukaryota; Metazoa; Chordata; Mammalia; Perissodactyla; Equidae
Source: Ensembl
GUGGUGUUGUGUAAGAAUCUCUACUUCUAACCAAUGCUUUAUAUAUCUAUGCCAUGUUGUCUGAUUCCUCACGUUCAAAACCAUAUUCAUCAACAUUCUUUUUAUCUUCUAGUCCAGUCCAUAACUUCUUUACUUUUCUUUCAAAACAUUUUUGUCUAUAUUGCUCAGGGUCUGCAAACGCACAAAUGGCCCAUUCAAAAAAAGACACAGAGGUAUGGUUAAGGGAACCUGAAAGGGAUGGAGAAGCUCCCAGGUGCCAAAACCAUUGGGAAGCUGUCACCACCCCUAGGCAUGAAAGGGCAGAAGGGGUAAACAAAGAUUUGGGAGUCCAGAAGAAGCUAGAUCUAUGGAAGUGGAACCACCACCAGUUCCUAGAGGAAAGCAGCCACUGGCAAACCCUAGUGAGGCAUGGGAUGUGGGAAGGAGGGUGAGAAGACUAAACAUCCCAACCCCUCUCUCCUCGUGGCUUCCGAUUUCCCACCUGUGCUUCUUUACCUCGUGCCUGGAUCGUUGCUGCUGCCUCCUCUAUGAUCUAACUCCGCUCCCCUCCGCUUUAUCCUGCAGUCCUAUCAUCAGACCAGUCUCUCUAAGAUCCCGCAUUCGUUAUGUCAUUUUUCUUCUCAUAACCUUCAAAGGCUUGUCAUUACUCUUCAGUCUGUUGUUGGCCAUUCUCCAAAUCCCGAGUUCAAUCUCUCUUUCAGAUGUUAUCUUCUGCAACUCUCCUAGCCCUUUGCUCUGAUUGGCCUCCUCAUUGCCAUCCCCCUUUCUAUAAACACGCCACUCUCAUCCCUGCAUCAAAUGCUGUGAUUCAUAUCUUUCCGUAUGCCUGAAAUACCCCUGGUCUUCUAUCCAGAUGCUAUACAUCCUUCAAGGCCCAUAUCUUCUGCAAAAACUUCUCUGACCGCUCCUACAUCAGUGGGUCCCUCUAUCUUCCCAGGUUUCUGCUGAAUUGUGGUAACACCUUACCAGUUAGGUCUUAAUUGUUCCUAUAUGUUUCAUAAACACAUGCUUUGUCUCCUCUAACCGAAAGGUGAGGAUCCCCAAACCAAAGGUGUGGUCGAUUGUUCGUUGGUGUGACUCUCAUUUUCUAAGCUAUAGCAGCUUGAAGGGGUACAACUAAAGCAGUGUGGGGGACAGUUAACAUGCCAGCAAAAAGUGAUCUAUGCUCUGAGCCCCUUGCUGUAAAAUCAGGGCCACCCCAGCCUUCAAGUCCCUCGCUCUCCUGGCAGAGUUCCAGGUCCUCUCCUUUGCUGCUGAAGCACUUCAGAUCAAGUGCCAGAGUCAUCUCUGCGGGGCUCCGUCCGUGCUACUGUAGGCUGCAGGUCUUACCGCAAAUUGAGAUUGAUCAGUGUUCUGUGGGCAUCUUUCAACUUUCCUUCUGGGGAUUGUUCAUUUCCAUAUGGUUUGCGUUCUUACUCUUUGUGAUGUAAUCCAUCCUGUUUGCCAAGAGUUGCCUGUUGGAAUGGGAUUAUUUGGUUCACACCUCUAGAGAAUUCCAGUCUACUGACCCCUAGCUAGUGUUUCUGGCUUAAGUUGGUCCAUGUCAACUCUUCCCUCAUGCAGGGCAAUGCCUGGGAGUUAAUCUUCAUUUCUCUUCUUUGCUCAAGAAUCUGAGUGCUGGGGCUGUCUAUGAGCUCUGUUCAGCCAAGAACCCUCUGUGGAACCCUCUGUGACAUGCUUGGGCACACCUGAGUCCCCUAACUAGCAUGAUAACUUGUUCUCACAAGACCCUUCCUUCUAUUUGUCAUUCACUGUGGUGUUUACAUAUUGAUCUUUUCUCUUUCCUUUUCCCAAUAUCAUACUUUUAGACCUUAGAAUCUCCUUUACUCUCCCUAGGAGGCUUAAAACUCAUCCUUUUAAGAGUUAAGUAGAGGCAGGAUGAGUUAAUGAACAUAAAUGGACUUAUUCCAUUGGUCGUUUGUUUGGUUUCUCUGGCCUUAUAUCUAGAAACCUGUCUCACCUUUUUGUCUUUUUCUACCUUGUCUUUUUAAAUGAAUACUCCUUAAGAUGACAGGUUCUCCAAUAGCUUAAUCUGAACUGGAGAAAUUUUAAAAAACGAUCCUAAGAAAGCCUAAAGUAUUUCAGAAGGAGGAAGAAUUUGUGUAGUGAAAUCUAUUAAUAAUGGAUAUCUUGGGGUCUUCUGAAUUAUAUAUGUACAGCUGAAAAAAUAAUUCUUUGUGCUCAUUAAUUUUGGAGCAAAGAAAUGCAACUUUCAUCCUUUUCUAAUCUGCUAUGGUUUGUAAUUAGGUGAUGAAAUGCACUCUUCUCCAAAGUCAGCAUCAGUUAGCUGUCUGGAUGUUUCUAUCUAUCGAGUCAAAGCUAUCUUACUUUUUUAGAGAUGAUCACAGAAAUGGAAAGCGUCACGAGACUGGCUAAAUCAAGACAUAGGGAAUGGAGGAAAAAAAGAACCAUUGAAAGAAACAACUGAGUCCAUACAAGAACGUUCCUUUUGCAGACUUUGACAUCAUGAAGGACAUAUGUCUCUGUUUACCUCAGCUGUUAUAAAAUUGUAUGAUGUGCAAGAGAAGCUAGAACUAGAUGGGAGCAGAGAAGGGGGUCUGGGCCCUUUUGCAAACACCAAGACCUUUUGUUGGAAUGGGAUAGAAAAAACCCACAAGCUUAACUUGGUAGGUCUGAGGGCUUGCUAAUGCAACCAGCUGAAACUUUGUAAACGUUUAGCAUAAAACUCAUUUUUAAUCUCAUAAACUUAAUUUUUUCCCCUAGCAUAUGGGAUGCAUAAAAAGGAAAUAAAACUUUAGUAAAUUGAGCCUUACUUGUGCUUUAUAAAAAAGAAAUUGAAUUGCUCUAAUGGCAGCUGCAGCUGGCUUUCAGCUUCGAACAACCAGUGUAAAUCUCGUUUUUAGUGCUUGAUUUAGUAAACACUCAGCUGCGAACAGGCUUGGAAAACAACUCUGAAUGCAGGGUUUUCCAUAAAGGCAGUUAUGUAACCUCUGUGUGUUAUGCCUUUAAAAUCUGUGAAGAAUAGCAGAAACCCUGAUUGAGAUAUCUUACAAUUAUCCUUUACUCUGGAUUUAAAUCUGCAGAGAGUUUGCUACUCAUUAUGCACAGAGCGAGCACAAAUGGAUUCUAAUAGGCCAUACAUUUAGAUGUAUGUGUGAUACUCGUUAAAGAUAUUAAAAAAGUAGAGUACUAAUAACCAGUUGAGAAGCCAGAGUUGAGUUGGGCGUGUCAUCUGGUCAUCUCCAAGUGACAAUCACAGCUUGUUUUUUAUUCUGCCCUUCUCUGAGCCGUGUCGGGCUCCUAUACAUUGAAGAGCCGUGAGAAUUCCUGGUUUGUAUUCUCUUUAGCAAAGGUUGCACGUGCCCAGCUUGCCAUUUUUGCUAAAAAUAGGGAGAAAAUCUUCUUCCUAAUGAACAAGAUGAAACAUCCAAGUGCUUUUAAAUUGACACACAAAUCACUUACGAUUCUAAAGCCAGUUUAUCCUAAAUAUUUCUAGUGACCUGGACUUAGUGGGGAUUUCCGUGUUUUGGUUGUUGGUUUUCCCAUCUCUCUAUAGACUCACUGGUAGACAAAAUGAGAGUUGGCACCUUGUGGCAUUCCUGCUAAGGGAAUCAUUUAAAAUAAUUCUGGCUAGGAUGGCCAAGGUUAACCCUGGGCACAAUUUGGAAUUAGGAUAAAUUGAUGCCUCUUUUCUUCCUCCCUGAAACAUCUUCCAAUCCCUCAGGCCUAUUUUUAGCUGGCUGCCAACCAGCCCUGCAUGAGCAAAUGUGUGAAGGUACGCUAUUUCUCAGGGGCAUUUUCAAUUUUAAAAGAGACUCUCAAAUGUGGAAAAGUCGUCAGACCCCAAAUCUGUGCUGUUUACAUGACGGGUCCUGGGGUUGAUCGUCUGGGCAGAGGGCAAUUUGUUCCAAGGCUGCCUCUGGGCGCAGUGGCUGGACUACAGAGAAGUAAAUUCACACACAGCCUCCUUUUUCCCGCCAACUGGUUGUUUGGCUGCCAGCAAUUGGAGCUAUUAAACACAUGGAGACUUGAUGAGAAAUUCGAAAAGACUAAUGCACAGUGUGGUAGGUGGAGAGAGUCACCAGUGGGCGGUUCUACUCGUGGCUCUGCGGUACCAGCUUCGUGACCUCAGGGAAGUCACUUAAACUCUCUGAGCUACUGUCUCGCCCCACCUUUCAGGCCUGUUGCAGGAUCAAAUACAAACAUGAGAAAGUACUUUGAAAACUGUCCCAUUGGGUUUCAGAGGACAAAUGUGGGCAAGUAGCAGAUCCUGUUAUGCCUGUGGAUGGAAUUCUGGAUCCUGGAGAAGAAUCGAUGGCUGACUAAACAGUUAAAAAGGAUGACAGCACUACAGAAGUCAGAGUGAAGAUAUUCAGACUUUUCAGACCUUGACCUGAGGUAAUCUUUCAAGCCAGGUGCUAGUUACAGGCUUCCAUGCAGUAACCACCACUACACUGCUGACUGUGACUGCGACUGCUGAUAAGCUGAGUAAGGCUGAAGGUCAACAAUCUGGAGACUGCUCUUAAUUAUUAAAGGAUCAACACGUCUUAAUGCAUUCGUCCUCUGAACUGGAGCCAAACAACUGGGUCUCAGGGACAGAAGUUUUCCCUUUCUUUUUAAAUUAGCACAAACAAACAAACAGACCAGUUG